UACGGGGGGGGGCAAGCGUUGUUCGGAAUUACUGGGCGUAAAGGGCUCGUAGGCGGCCAACUAAGUCAGACGUGAAAUCCCUCGGCUUAACCGGGGAACUGCAUCUGAUACUGGAUGGCUUGAGUUUGGGAGAGGGAUGCGGAAUUCCAGGUGUAGCGGUGAAAUGCGUAGAUAUCUGGAGGAACACCGGUGGCGAAGGCGGCAUCCUGGACCAACACUGACGCUGAGGAGCGAAAGCCAGGGGAGCAAACGGG
This 254-nucleotide ribosomal RNA is filed under the name uncultured bacterium. Its description in RNAcentral is "partial 16S ribosomal RNA". It matches the Rfam family "Bacterial small subunit ribosomal RNA", at positions 524 to 776 of the family's 1533-position model. The record is from RNAcentral.